GGUUUGAUCUUGGCUCAGGACGAACGCUGGCGGCGUGCUUAACACAUGCAAGUCGAACGGUAAGGCUCCAGCUUGCUGGGGUACACGAGUGGCGAACGGGUGAGUAACACGUGGGUGACCUGCCCUGCACUUCGGGAUAAGCCUGGGAAACUGGGUCUAAUACCGGAUAGGACCGCACCGUGAGGGUGUGGUGGAAAGUUUUUUUCGGUGUGGGAUGGGCCCGCGGCCUAUCAGCUUGUUGGUGGGUAAUGGCCUACCAAGGCGGCGACGGGCAGCCGGCCUGAGAGGGUGGACGGCCACAUUGGGACUGAGACACGGCCCAGACUCCUACGGGAGGCAGCAGUGGGGAAUAUUGCACAAUGGGCGGAAGCCUGAUGCAGCGACGCCGCGUGGGGGAUGACGGCCUCGGUUGUAACGUACCUUCUACCACUACGACGAAGGUUACG
RNAcentral lists this ribosomal RNA (446 nucleotides) under uncultured microorganism. Its description in RNAcentral is "bacterial SSU rRNA". It matches the Rfam family "Bacterial small subunit ribosomal RNA", at positions 10 to 459 of the family's 1533-position model. The record is from RNAcentral.